UUUAAUGAACACAUCGUCUCUCGAUGGGGUACAACGAAGCAAGAUGUGCGGGUGGGAGGAACACUUGCGAAAACGCCUCUUUUUCCUCCUCUGACUGCACUUCGGCGAGAAUGGGUGGGUAGGAGGAAGCACCACUCUCACAUACGAACGACGACACUCUGGCGGCAACGGGUGGCUGGGUGGAGGGAAGACAAGACCGUCUAGGUUUCGCGUAUGAAUGAUGGCAUUACGGCGGCACUCCAACAACAAUGGGUGGCUGGGUGGAAGGAAAAGGAGACACUCUAGCUUUCGCAUACGAAUGAUGGCACUACGACGGCACUUCAGCGACAAUGGGUUGCUGGAUGAAGGGAAGACGAGUCUCUCUCUAGUUUUCACGCUCGAGAUUCUCUCUCAAAGGUUCCUUAGAUUCGAAAUCUGAAAAUGAGAAAAUGAAACAAAAACUUAAAACCUCCCUCAAAUUCCAUUGUCACGUCAUUCUCAGUUUUUAAAAUUAUUAUCCACGUGCACCACUAAUAUUUUGACAUGUGUCCCGUGUGAAAAUAUUGUUGUUAAAAUAUUAUUUUCCAUUAAAAUAAUACUAAAAUUCUGAGCGUGAUGGUGUGAAAUGGAUUUUUGGUGUAUAAUAAAACAUGUUGCACUUACUUAAACAUUAGGUUUUAGAUUAUUCUUCAUGACUACCUUUUGAAGUUUAGAAUAUUGUUUGCAUGAGAUGAGACUGUAUUUUCCGUAAAGAGCAAUAGCAUACCAUGACGAAAGUUGUUAUAUACUACUAUAAAUCAAUAAAAAGAAUUAUAAAAUCAGCAAACCUCAUAAGAGAGACAUUGUUCUUGUAUCUUUCCACUUAACAGUCUUGAUAGUGAUAAGCUUACCAAACCAGUAGAGUUUCUACUCUCUCCCAAUAUUAACUAUUGUAUAGAAUAGCUAAUAUCUAAUUUUCUAAACUACUCAUACUGCACCACGCCUUUAAUGAAUAUAAUUAUCAAAUAUUUUAUAAAAACGUAUAGCAGUAUAUUAAUGCUUAUUUUUAAAUAAUAAAAUCCAUAAUUAUGCUACUG
Molecule: long non-coding RNA, 1055 nt
Filed under: Vigna radiata
Lineage: Eukaryota; Viridiplantae; Streptophyta; Magnoliopsida; Fabales; Fabaceae
Description: long non-coding RNA (VRAD_LNC010059)
Source: RNAcentral